Molecule: ribosomal RNA, 467 nt
Filed under: uncultured bacterium
Lineage: Bacteria
Description: partial 16S ribosomal RNA
Rfam family: Bacterial small subunit ribosomal RNA
Source: RNAcentral
GACGAACGCUGGCGGCGUGCUUACACAUGCAAGUCGAACGGAAAGGCCCUGCUUUUGUGGGGUGCUCGAGUGGCGAACGGGUGAGUAACACGUGAGUAACCUGCCCUUGACUUUGGGAUAACUUCAGGAAACUGGGGCUAAUACCGGAUAGGAGCUCCUGCUGCAUGGUGGGGGUUGGAAAGUUUCGGCGGUUGGGGAUGGACUCACGGCUUAUCAGCUUGUUGGUGGGGUAGUGGCUUACCAAGGCUUUGACGGGUAGCCGGCCUGAGAGGGUGACCGGCCACAUUGGGACUGAGAUACGGCCCAGACUCCUACGGGAGGCAGCAGUGGGGAAUAUUGCACAAUGGGCGGAAGCCUGAUGCAGCAACGCCGCGUGCGGGAUAACGGCCUUCGGGUUGUAAACCGCUUUCGCCUGUGACGAAGCGUGAGUGACGGUAAUGGGUAAAGAAGCACCGGCUAACUACGUG